UACAGAGGGUGCGAGCGUUAAUCGGAAUUACUGGGCGUAAAGCGAGUGUAGGCGGUUUGGUAAGUCGGAUGUGAAAGCCCCGGGCUCAACCCGGGAAGUGCACUCGAUACUGCCAAGCUAGAGUAUCGGAGAGGUUGGUGGAAUUCUCGGUGUAGCGGUGAAAUUCGUAGAUAUUCGGAAGAACACCAGUGGCGAAGGCGACUGACUGGACAAGUAUUGACGCUGAGGUGCGAAAGCGUGGGGAGCAAACAGG
RNAcentral lists this ribosomal RNA (253 nucleotides) under uncultured bacterium. Its description in RNAcentral is "partial 16S ribosomal RNA". It matches the Rfam family "Bacterial small subunit ribosomal RNA", at positions 524 to 776 of the family's 1533-position model. The record is from RNAcentral.